This is a long non-coding RNA of Brachypodium distachyon (stiff brome), 3506 nucleotides long. RefSeq lists it as uncharacterized. The transcript is spliced from 6 exons. NCBI's taxonomy places the organism in Eukaryota, Viridiplantae, Streptophyta, Magnoliopsida, Poales, Poaceae. The record is from RefSeq and is a predicted model, not a curated record.
CCGAACUCCGAAUCGUUUCUUCUAUUUCGUCUCGCCCAGCCCGCUGCCCACGCGCCGCCGCUCCUCCCUGCCCCGCGCACCACCGCCACCACCCACCUGCCACUCCUCGCGCUCCUCCUCUGCUCGCACCGCCACCGCCCCGAUCUCUCUCUGCCCGCGCCGUCUCCUCCUCCUCCUCGCACACACCCGACCAGAUCCACCUCCACCUCCUCGCACACGGCCCGCCCGGAUCCGCCUUCUCCUCGUACUGGCGCGAGGCCAAGGAGCGCGAGGAGGAGGUCGAGAUGCGCGCCGAGGCCGGCGCCCGCCAGGACGAGAACCGCCGCCCGCCAGGCCGAUAUCCGCCUCCUCCUCACCGUGCCGCCGCCGUGGGAGAGCCGUGCUCCGCCGCGCCACGUCCCCGUGACGCCACCUGCUCUCCCCCUUCUCAAUGCAUCGAGUGCCCGACGAAGAAAUCACCCCGCGCUGACUUGCCCUCCAGUGUUUAAGCAUGACCCUAGCAAAUCUCUCGCGACCUCGCUCCUCCGCUUCCUACUGCGGUAGACCGGCCCCUUCGUCCGCCUCGGGAGCCAGGUGUUCCAGUUCCACGGAACGGCGGGGUCGGGUGAUGGCGAGGGCGAGAGCGACGCCCCGGCCCGAGGGGAGGAGGUGUUCGGGGGCCGGAGGGAGGAGGUGUUCCGGGGCCGGAUGGAGCUCACCGGCGUGCAGCCGCUCGUGGGGUCGUUGCGGCCGCUGUGGCGGCGGGCUACGGCAUUGGGCUCCCCCUAGGCAGCAGCUUCCGGGCGGUCACGGACCCGGCCAUGCUCGGGGCAGCCAGCGUCGCGGGGACUGCCGUGGUAAACUCUAUCGUGCUAGAGGUUGCAGCCGUGAGGCUGCAUCGACGACCCCACCAAGCUGGAGACCAGCGUCAGCGAGGUGGAGGCCAUCGCAAGCAAGUGAGUUUGGAUCGCCGGAUUGCCCCAUAUAGUUGCUGCGUUCGUUCCAGGUAUGGACUCAGUACACAAGAUGCAGCCUUCAAAGCAGAGCUCUGUGACUUGUAUGCCAGGAUACAACCAAGAGAUGAUGUGUGCUUCUAGUCUAAACUCAAUAUGGGUGGUUAGUCAUGUUACUUGGUUUGGGAGAUCCAUGGCUGAUAACGAAGUGCAGUUUUGAUUUCAAAAUUUACUGCACACAAGGCAACAUUGCCUUCGAUAGUAAUGUACAAAUAGAAGUUCAGAAGUCCUCCAAUUUUUUGUUUAUGCUCUUUGGAGAUCAGUCUAAUAAGAAAUACUUAGGUGUCCUGCACCAUUUGGACAUGACUUAAAUUUAAGUGAGCUCAGUCGGCUGCUUGAAUAUAGAAAAUCUACUAACAUGUCUACUUGCUAUAAGACUAGAACUAACAAAAUGGGAUUUGCAUCUGAGCAUGGUGCUUAUAUUCGCAAACUUCCUCGUGUCUAUUUAAUAACCGAAAAUUGCCAAUUAGUAUGCUUUAAUUUAUAAUAAUGUUUGUUAUCAUUGUGUGUUAAAAUGGUUUUAACUAUCACUUGUUUAAUAUUGUGAACAACUUUGGUUCAAAUACUCUUGGAAACACGAGGUGAUACACUAAUACUAUAGUUCAGUUGAUAUGUUUAUACAUGUGCAGUCAAGAGGGAGGUCUCAAGAAGAGUGAAGGACAAACCGGAGAAGGAAAUAAUCACUGUGUAAAGCUGAAGACAUUGCAGUUGAAGUCGGCGCUCUAUUGUUGGUUGGCUGUGUGUUGUAGCUUUUUUUAAAGGUUGGAUGUGUGUUUGUAGAACGCCGAAGAGGAUGCAUGGGACUCGUUGGAGAUACAAUCGAAAAUCACAUUGACAUUACACCCAACGCAUGUAUUCAUGAACUAGAAGCAAAUGAGGUAUGAUAUUAGUUUUUUCAUUAUUAGUAGCAAUAAUUUUGAUGUCUCUGCAAUCUAUUGUUGCACCGUAGCGACGCCCGGCACCUAACUAGUCUUCAGUAAGUUCGCAGUUUCGUGCUUUGCAUCCUGACAGUUAGCGCCCGCGAGGAAAGAAAAAAAGAAGGUCGAUCCCUUCCGCAGUUCCGCUGCCUCCGUCGGACCUGCCGCCUUCCCUCCUCCGCCCCCGCGCGGCGCGCGCCAUGCGCCUCCUCCGGACCCUUCCGAUCCCCUCGCGACCUCUCCUCUCCCGACCUAGGCAGGCUCUCGCCGCCAACGCCGUUCCUCUUCCAUCACCUGCCCAUCCUCUAGGGCCAGACACGGAGGUUGUGUUUGAGAAGGUGAGGGACUUGUCCGUCUUGGGGAAGAAGGGGAUGGAGGACGAGGAGCAGGCGGCAGCGAUGAGGCAGUUGGCAUAGACUAUUUUCCUGGUAACAUAGGUCCCGCGGCAGCACUAUCUCCUCUGCCUUCCCGGCGACGUGGCGGCCUUCUCUUCCUUCUGGCAGCACGUCUUGUCCCACAGAUUGUUUGUUUCAGAGCACCUUGAUGAAGGUCUAGGCAAGACUCGUUUGUUUCGACAUCUGAAGGCUAGCUCUUAUUUCAUCACAUUACAACUCAUAUGGCAAGCGCUAAAAGAGGUCUGCAGAUCGAGUGGCAAUGCCUAUCUCAAAAAAGAAGAGUUCAACCAGUAACCUUUGUCUGCAAAGUUUUGCCUUCCUGAACCUUGUAACAAGCUCCCAUGCUAAGUUCAGAACCAUCAAUUUGCUGCAACCAAUGCAGUCACAUUAUCAGCUUGUCAUAUUUGCAUCCGAUGGACUCUGGGAGCACUUAACUGACCCAGAGGUUGUUGAGAUUGUUGGCAGUACCUCUCAUAGUCAUAUGGAGCAUGGAGCAUGUGUUACUUGCUUAGACUGUACUCCGAUGAAAUAAGGCUUCCCCAAAUACAAAUUUUGGUAUCUGAAAGGAGCAACUUUCAUAUUGCAUUGAUGUUGUAAAACAAUAUGGAUGGCUCUCUACUAUCGUCAAAACUACAAAUUGCGCAUUACCAUGGAGUAUGGUUUGGAGGUGCUAUAGAAAAUAGAAACCUUCAUGUACUUGUAAAUUUCUAAUAUAUCCUCUACUACCAUAAUAUGUUAGGUUCAGGGAUUAUUGUAGUCAACAAAUGCAACAUGGUAGGCUACCAAUAUGCGUCAUGAUGUGGUGUGUGUUUUCAUCAACUGAUGCUUCUAAAGUCCAGUGAUCAGUGGCAGACAAACUCGUAGAUAACGAUGUUAUGCAAGAUUUAUAUAGCUUAAGAUGGAAAGGGCGAGCAAAUUCUCACACUUAAGGUCCGACGCAAGUGGAGAAUACAUUGUCAUCACUCAUUUUAUUAUUGUUGGAUAGUUGCAAAUUCUGCAAAAGUAUGUGGCAGCGUGCAGAGGAGCACACCUCAAUUUUGUGUCAGUUGUCAUGAUAGAAAGCUAAAUCUAAGUUCAUUUCCGUUUCUCACGAGUUAAUAAUUGGUCAUUUUGUAACUCUUAGAGGCUUCUCACUACUCUUCUAUUUCUGAUCAUGCGCUGGAAGAUGCACCUUUCAUUAGUUAUUACUUGGGCCCUGAUAA